Molecule: non-coding RNA, 185 nt
Organism: Octopus bimaculoides (California two-spot octopus)
Lineage: Eukaryota; Metazoa; Mollusca; Cephalopoda; Octopoda; Octopodidae
Source: Rfam
AAACCAUUUGUCUAAAAUCAAAGUGUAAUAUCUGUUUUUAUCAGCUUAAUUUUUGAUACAGUCUCUAUUUGGGGUUAUCUAUAUUUAAAUGAUUUUUCGAACAGGGCGGAGAGUUAGGAUCUUGCUCCGCCUUUGCCACGGGCUGGUCUCGUAUUGCAGUACUUCCAGGAAUUAUCCCACAUACA